GAAAUCGAUCCCCACUAGGCUUCAUGAGAGCAUUUUCCCGCUUGUUCAAGUCUGAUGGCUUGCUUUUCCCAUAUUGCAAUCUUCACAAAGGAAACGUGCUGCUGUAGCUAAAAGCAGCUUAUCCCCAACUCCAACUUCACACGAAUAUCCACCUACAUACCAGCUACCCUCUACAUGAUACAGCUUCCAUUAAAUAGAUAGUACUUCAACACCGGCUGUUUUCUCCUGGGAGGUUGCUACUCGGCAUGGUAGCGUCGGAUAUAUCCCAUCACUCCACUUGGAGGUGGAACGUAUUAUUAGAUGACGUAUAACUCCUACAUACGCAGUACAACAAGGAACUUUACCGCAACAAGUAGCUCCGCGGUUUACGGGGCUAAGCGGAGAGAAAAGAAAAUAUACCGAAUGUCUCCGGUUUUAGAGACCUUUUUGUCCUUUGGUUGGUAAUUGGCUCAGGGGGCGGGCUCUGGUGAGGCGGAAGCCGAAUCUCCUUCCUAUAUAAAAGAGUUUCCCGCAGAGUGCACUUCUGGAAGAGUUAAUAGAGGUCAAUAUCUUGGUAUCCGGUCAAUAUCUCUGCUGAACUCCGCGCUUCGCUCUGUGCGUGUCAAGUUUAUUUUUGGUCGUUUUUGGGUUGAUUGAUAUCCUCCGAUCUCGCGUCCCAUCUGGGCUCAGUGCUUCGAGCUUGCUACAACUUUGAUCCUGCCGAACCCGUAGCUAUGAAAGAGACACGCGCUGCUUCCACUAAGACCUAUACACUGAGCGACGGCAGAGUAAUUCCUGCCAUUGGCUAUGGGGCGAUGCAGUGUUAGUUAGUCCUAUCUAUCCUGCGCAGUGUUGCUUACCUCGUAGACAACAAAAAAUAAACUAAGACGCCCCAAAGAUGGCAUGGUUUUCCCCGACGAAGAAAGACCCAAAGUCACCGAGAUCCUCAAACAGGCCAUUCUCGCAGGCUAUCGUUACAUAGACACCGCACCAGGGUAUGCCACAGAGGAUCUCCUUGGAGAGGCCAUCCGUGCCUCAGGCGUGCCUCGCUCUGAAUUUACAGUCGUGACCAAGCUUCUCCAAACUCAGCAUCACGAUCCUGAGGCUUCGUUCCGCGAGUCCCUGGCAAAGCUUGACGUCGGCUACAUUGAUAUUUUCCUUCUCCACUGGCCCAAUGCUUCGGGCCCAGACGGGAGGUGGAGGGGCAUUGACGAAAGCCCGACGUUCGUGGAGACAUAUAAGA
Molecule: small RNA, 1222 nt
Filed under: Histoplasma ohiense
Lineage: Eukaryota; Fungi; Ascomycota; Eurotiomycetes; Onygenales; Ajellomycetaceae
Description: hypothetical lncRNA
Source: RNAcentral